This 1244-nucleotide long non-coding RNA is filed under the name Rattus norvegicus (Norway rat). RNAcentral's name for it is "long non-coding RNA NONRATT031680". The record is from RNAcentral. Lineage: Eukaryota; Metazoa; Chordata; Mammalia; Rodentia; Muridae.
CUUCUGAAGGCUGGAUGAUGGGAGAGGCAGUGCUGGGCAGGACAAACACUCAACAGACAGUGGGACCCUCCCUUCCCUGCAGAGAGGAUCCCCACCUGCUGGUUCUAUGCUCAUGGCCAAGUGAUGCCUCCCGCGCUGGUGAAGACACUUACUGGACAGGGAACCCACAUGGCUGCAUCAUCAUUCCCUAAACACAUGGCUUAUGCUGGGUUCACUCUUGGUGUUCACUGCUUGGUGGGUUGUUCUGACGAGUGCGUCACUCCCAGCUCUGUCAUAGCUUUAAGCAGAAAGGGUGUGCCACCGUCUUGCAGCUCUGUGUGUCUGUCUCCCACCCCGCUGGCACCCAGCCUUUUGUACUUCAUGGCAGUCUGCAAAGACAGAGCAGGGAUGUCACUCAGGUAAGACCUGCUUCCUAUCCUGGGUGGUAAAAAGCUCGUGGCCACAUUCAUUGCCAUAUCUCUGGGAUCUCUUAUCAUACAGUCCAUGUGUCAACUACCUGUCAGCUCUGUUGAUGGAGAAGGAAGUUACAGAUGCUGUCGUGGAUGAGCAGCAGAGAGAAAGAGGAUAAAGGAGGGCUCCUGGAACUGGUUGGAGCAGGUGGUGUUCGGGAGCAAAGAGGAAGCUGCCCCAGAGUCACUGUGGUCCGGGCCAGGAGCUUCCCUUUAAGACAAGAGAUUGUCAAAGCACAGUGGUCUUCAGGCAAAGCAACUGAGAAUGCACAGUAGGGCCUCUUCUGGCAGUGAGGUGUUUGCUCUUUCUCUCAGGAGCUGGUGAGGGCCAGAGCCAAGAAUCAUGUCCUGGGUGCUCAGCCCUGAGAUGCACUACCAGGACAUGGUGUGUGGCUAUCUGAGUCUUCUGUCUUUUGGAGUCACUUCCAGAUCUUUCGGCCCAGUAAAUGAUUAAUCAGUUAAAUAGACACAGGCUCCUUAAAGAAACCGGCUUCCCUUCCUACCUGCCCCAGUUGCUCCUGAAUUUACUCUGUCAGUGAGCCAGUUUCUAGGACAAGCCUCACUGGCUUUUAUUUUAUUUUAUUUUAUUUUAUUGCCAGAGCCUUGUGACCUUGAAGCCAAGCAGUGACAUUACUUGUCCUGAAGUUUCCUAUGUCUCAUCUCCUCUAAGAUCUGAGGGAGGGGACCCCUCAGGAUCCCUUUGGGACUCUUGGAAGGGGGCAGGAUGCUGGUGGCUUCAUUUGCCCAGAAGGCAGGGUAAACCAGUGACCCCCACCCCCCCUUUUGCUACCUGGC